ACGCCUAAUACAUGCAAGUCGAACGAAGUAGCAAUACUUAGUGGCAGACGGGUGAGUAACAUGUAGGUAUCUUCCCAUUGGUGAGGAAUAACACGAGGAAACUUGUGCUAAUACCUCAUAAGUCUUUACGGAGAAAGCUUUAUGCGCCGAUGGAUGAGCCUGCACUUGAUUAGUUUGUUGGUAGGGUAAUGGCCUACCAAGACAAUGAUCAAUAGCUGAUUUGAGAGGAUGAUCAGCCACAUUGGGACUGAGACACGGCCCAAACUCCUACGGGAGGCAGCAGUAGGGAAUCUUGCACAAUGGGGGAAACCCUGAUGCAGCGAUGCCGCGUGAGUGAAGAAGGCCUUUGGGUUGUAAAGCUCUUUCGUCGGGGAAGAAAAUGACUGUACCCGAAUAAGAAGGUCCGGCUAACU
This 413-nucleotide ribosomal RNA is filed under the name uncultured bacterium. RNAcentral's name for it is "bacterial SSU rRNA". It matches the Rfam family "Bacterial small subunit ribosomal RNA", at positions 44 to 502 of the family's 1533-position model. The record is from RNAcentral.